UGGGGAAUAUUGGACAAUGGGCGAAAGCCUGAUCCAGCCAUGCCGCGUGUGUGAAGAAGGUCUUCGGAUUGUAAAGCACUUUAAGUUGGGAGGAAGGGCAUUAACCUAAUACGUUAGUGUUUUGACGUUACCGACAGAAUAAGCACCGGCUAACUCUGUGCCAGCAGCCGCGGUAAUACAGAGGGUGCAAGCGUUAAUCGGAAUUACUGGGCGUAAAGCGCGCGUAGGUGGUUUGUUAAGGUGGAUGUGAAAUCCCCGGGCGCAACCUGGGAACUGCAUUCAAAACUGACUGACUAGAGUAUGGUAGAGGGUGGUGGAAUUUCCUGUGUAGCGGUGAAAUGCGUAGAUAUAGGAAGGAACACCAGUGGCGAAGGCGACCACCUGGACUAAUACUGACACUGAGGUGCGAAAGCGUGGGGAGCAAACA
Molecule: ribosomal RNA, 427 nt
Filed under: uncultured bacterium
Lineage: Bacteria
Description: partial 16S ribosomal RNA
Rfam family: Bacterial small subunit ribosomal RNA
Source: RNAcentral